This 481-nucleotide ribosomal RNA is filed under the name uncultured bacterium. Its description in RNAcentral is "bacterial SSU rRNA". It matches the Rfam family "Bacterial small subunit ribosomal RNA", at positions 30 to 507 of the family's 1533-position model. The record is from RNAcentral.
UUGAACGCUGGCGGCAUGCCUUACACAUGCAAGUCGAACGGCAGCACGGGAGCAAUCCUGGUGGCGAGUGGCGAACGGGUGAGUAAUAUAUCGGAACGUGCCAGUCGUGGGGAUAACGUAGCGAAAGCUACGCUAAUACCGCAUACGAUCUAAGGAUGAAAGCGGGGGAUCGCAAGACCUCGCGCGAUUGGAGCGGCCGAUAUCAGAUUAGGUAGUUGGUGAGGUAAAGGCUCACCAAGCCGACGAUCUGUAGCUGGUCUGAGAGGACGACCAGCCACACUGGGACUGAGACACGGCCCAGACUCCUACGGGAGGCAGCAGUGGGGAAUUUUGGACAAUGGACGCAAGUCUGAUCCAGCCAUUCCGCGUGCAGGAUGAAGGCCCUCGGGUUGUAAACUGCUUUUGUACGGAACGAAAAGGUUUGUCUUAAUACGAUGAGCUCAUGACGGUACCGUAAGAAUAAGCACCGGCUAACUACGUG